RNAcentral lists this ribosomal RNA (119 nucleotides) under Propithecus coquereli (Coquerel's sifaka). Lineage: Eukaryota; Metazoa; Chordata; Mammalia; Primates; Indriidae. The record is from RNAcentral.
GUCUAUGGCCAUACCACCCUGAACAUGCCUGAUCUUGUCUGAUCUCGGAAGCUAAGUAAGGUCGGGCCUGGUUAGUCCUUGGAUGGGAGACAGUCAGGGAAUGCUGGAUGCUGUAGUCU